Molecule: unclassified non-coding RNA, 302 nt
Filed under: fungal sp.
Lineage: Eukaryota; Fungi
Description: partial internal transcribed spacer region
Rfam family: Eukaryotic small subunit ribosomal RNA (bases 1-46)
Source: RNAcentral
AAGUCGUAACAAGGUUUCCGUAGGUGAACCUGCGGAAGGAUCAUUACCAAAUCCAAAUUUCCUUAACCCCUUGUGAACUAUUAUCUUAGUCUGUCUUUGGGAAGAAUUCAAGAGAAUUUUUUUGAUAUUUUCUCAAAAAAAGCUUUUGGGUUCUUCCCGAAAGAGUCCGGCAAAUUCAUUUAUUUGUUUUUCGUUUGGAUUUCUUUCAAAAAACCUUUAUUUAAACCACUUGAUUCGUUGGAAUUCAUUCUUUUAUAAUAAUCAAUAAAAGACAACUUUUAACGGCGGAUCUCUUGGCUCGU